GCCAAUAUAGCUCAGUAGGUAGAGCACACCCAUGGUAAGGGUGAGGUCUCGGGUUCGAUUCCCGAUAUUGGCUCCA
RNAcentral lists this transfer RNA (76 nucleotides) under Candidatus Altimarinota bacterium. RNAcentral's name for it is "tRNA-Thr". It matches the Rfam family "tRNA". Rfam says of the family: Transfer RNA (tRNA) molecules are approximately 80 nucleotides in length. Their secondary structure includes four short double-helical elements and three loops (D, anti-codon, and T loops). Lineage: Bacteria; Candidatus Altimarinota. The record is from RNAcentral.